Molecule: long non-coding RNA, 613 nt
Organism: Folsomia candida
Lineage: Eukaryota; Metazoa; Arthropoda; Collembola; Entomobryomorpha; Isotomidae
Exons: 3
Source: RefSeq, a predicted model, not a curated record
UCGUACAACAGUUCUCCAGUGCAUUAUAAAAACUUAAAGUGGAGUUUUCUUAAUUCUUUCGUCUAGAUAUUGGGAGCAAUUUCAGUUGGCGUAGGAAGCUUUGGACACUUUGAAUCAUUCUACAUUUGGCAAAUAAAGGAGGAAGCGUUUCUUUCGUCUACGGUUUCAUGUUUGGGAAUUUCGUUAUUCUAUUUUCUCGCAAAUUUAAGCAGUUUGAAAUUACAAAAUAGCAGUGCUAACAGGAUAUUCGGCAUUGUUUUCCAUUUGCUAGCUGGAGUUUUGCUUAUGAUUGUUGGAAGUUUGACAAUUGAAUCGACUGUAGAAAUUGAUCGAAAAAUUUGUAGAUUGUAUCCGUUGUGGCCAUAUUCUGUUCAAUGUCAAUUAUACACAGAAAAAUUGGUGGCUUCCAUAAUUGCAGUUGUGAAUGGGUUAUUGUACGCAAUUUCCGCCCUACUCAUUUUUGCUACGUAAUGAGAUGACGCAAGGAAUAAUCGGAAACGAAGAUGUGCAAAAUGAAUCUUCUCGCUUUUUUGCGGAUGUUUAUUUUUGUGCAGUGUCAAUUAUACAAAUUUAUAGCACUUUCUUGCUCGCAAUAUAUCAUUUAUUAUAAGAA